UGUAAGAUGGGGAAGUGGGGCUAUAUGCAGGGGAAGUGGGGCUGUAAGCGGGGGAAGUGGGGCUGUAAGCAGGGGAAGUGGGGCUGUAGCUUGGUGAGGUGGGACUGUAGCUUGGUGAGGUGGGGCUGUAGCUGGGAGAGGUUGGUGAGUAUGAUGGACUCGUAGGAGAGUAAGCUGGACUGGUGGGACUAUAGCCAGGAGAACUAGGACUAUAUGUCGGAGAGGUGGGACUGUACCCAGGAGAAGUGGGGCUAUACCCUGGU
RNAcentral lists this long non-coding RNA (263 nucleotides) under Malus domestica (apple). Its description in RNAcentral is "long non-coding RNA (MDOM_LNC001508)". The record is from RNAcentral. Lineage: Eukaryota; Viridiplantae; Streptophyta; Magnoliopsida; Rosales; Rosaceae.